Molecule: non-coding RNA, 45 nt
Organism: Schistosoma margrebowiei
Lineage: Eukaryota; Metazoa; Platyhelminthes; Trematoda; Strigeidida; Schistosomatidae
Source: Rfam
AUCCAACUGACGAGUCCCAAAUAGGAUGAAACGUACAUCCUUGAU